RNAcentral lists this small nuclear RNA (100 nucleotides) under Choloepus hoffmanni (Hoffmann's two-fingered sloth). Lineage: Eukaryota; Metazoa; Chordata; Mammalia; Pilosa; Megalonychidae. The record is from RNAcentral.
GUGGAAUUCCACAUAUACUAAAAUUGGAACAAUACAGAGAAGAUUAGCAUGGCUCCUGCGCAAGGAUGACACACAAAUUUGUGAAGCAUUCCACAUUUAA